UGAACGCUAGCGGCAGGCCUACCACAUGCAAGUCGAGCGGAUGAAGGGAGCUUGCUCCUGGAUUCAGCGGCGGACGGGUGAGUAAUGCCUAGGAAUCUGCCUGGUAGUGGGGGAUAACGUCCGGAAACGGGCGCUAAUACCGCAUACGUCCUGAGGGAGAAAGUGGGGGAUCUUCGGACCUCACGCUAUCAGAUGAGCCUAGGUCGGAUUAGCUAGUUGGUGGGGUAAAGGCCUACCAAGGCGACGAUCCGUAACUGGUCUGAGAGGAUGAUCAGUCACACUGGAACUGAGACACGGUCCAGACUCCUACGGGAGGCAGCAGUGGGGAAUAUUGGACAAUGGGCGAAAGCCUGAUCCAGCCAUGCCGCGUGUGUGAAGAAGGUCUUCGGAUUGUAAAGCACUUUAAGUUGGGAGGAAGGGCAGUAAGUUAAUACCUUGCUGUUUUGACGUUACCAACAGAAUAAGCACCGGCUAACUUCGUG
This 482-nucleotide ribosomal RNA is filed under the name uncultured bacterium. RNAcentral describes it as "partial 16S ribosomal RNA". It matches the Rfam family "Bacterial small subunit ribosomal RNA", at positions 30 to 507 of the family's 1533-position model. The record is from RNAcentral.